GCGGUGGAGGGCUCGAGGGUGAGCCGCCGUGUUUCCUUCACGGAGGGGCAGGUUCGACUCCUGCCCACCGCUCCA
RNAcentral lists this transfer RNA (75 nucleotides) under Dehalococcoidia bacterium. Its description in RNAcentral is "tRNA-Gly". The record is from RNAcentral. Lineage: Bacteria; Bacillati; Chloroflexota; Dehalococcoidia. RNAcentral also lists the same sequence under 1 other name.